GACGAACGCUGGCGGCGUGCCUAAUACAUGCAAGUCGAGCGAGCUUGCCUAGAUGAAUUUGGUGCUUGCACCAAAUGAAACUAGAUACAAGCGAGCGGCGGACGGGUGAGUAACACGUGGGUAACCUGCCCAAGAGACUGGGAUAACACCUGGAAACAGAUGCUAAUGCCGGAUAACAACACUAGACGCAUGUCUAGAGUUUAAAAGAUGGUUCUGCUAUCACUCUUGGAUGGACCUGCGGUGCAUUAGCUAGUUGGUAAGGUAACGGCUUACCAAGGCAAUGAUGCAUAGCCGAGUUGAGAGACUGAUCGGCCACAUUGGGACUGAGACACGGCCCAAACUCCUACGGGAGGCAGCAGUAGGGAAUCUUCCACAAUGGACGCAAGUCUGAUGGAGCAACGCCGCGUGAGUGAAGAAGGGUUUCGGCUCGUAAAGCUCUGUUGGUAGUGAAGAAAGAUAGAGGUAGUAACUGGCCUUUAUUUGACGGUAAUUACUUAGAAAGUCACGGCUAACUACGUGCCAGCAGCCGCGGUAAUACGUAGGUGGCAAGCGUUGUCCGGAUUUAUUGGGCGUAAAGCGAGUGCAGGCGGUUCAAUAAGUCUGAUGUGAAAGCCUUCGGCUCAACCGGAGAAUUGCAUCAGAAACUGUUGAACUUGAGUGCAGAAGAGGAGAGUGGAACUCCAUGUGUAGCGGUGGAAUGCGUAGAUAUAUGGAAGAACACCAGUGGCGAAGGCGGCUCUCUGGUCUGCAACUGACGCUGAGGCUCGAAAGCAUGGGUAGCGAACAGG
This 788-nucleotide ribosomal RNA is filed under the name uncultured Lactobacillus sp. RNAcentral describes it as "bacterial SSU rRNA". It matches the Rfam family "Bacterial small subunit ribosomal RNA", at positions 28 to 776 of the family's 1533-position model. Lineage: Bacteria; Bacillati; Bacillota; Bacilli; Lactobacillales; Lactobacillaceae. The record is from RNAcentral.